Molecule: non-coding RNA, 29 nt
Filed under: Mus musculus (house mouse)
Lineage: Eukaryota; Metazoa; Chordata; Mammalia; Rodentia; Muridae
Source: RNAcentral
UUGGUUCAUAUGAGGACCAGGUGAUCUUG